CAAAUCCUGACCCCCCUCCAAGUGAUGGGAAAGAACUCCAGCACGUGCAACAGGCCCUGCCAAUUUUGUCUGGAGCAGAGGGAGCAGAACAUCUGGCUCAGCACUGGCAAAUCGGAUCCCUCAGACUUAUCCAACUUCUGCAUGCAUGCCUGUACCAGUGUGUGCUCCACGAGUGAUUACAUCUUCCAACAGGGAGCUGUGACCAGACCUGCACUUAGGAUGCAGACAGCAAUGCUGGAGACUGCUCCACCAGGACUUCAACACCUGGCUUUCUGUCUAAGUUCUCUCCAACCAGAGUAACAAACCAUGGCAAUCAAGUUUCAUGGAGGACUGGUACCAGCCAUACCUGACGUGUUUCCUCUUGCUGCCCAGCCACCAUUUUCAGAGCCACAGAACCCUGCUCUCAUUAUACAGACCAGACAUUAUGAUUCUUCACUUCCCAGCCUUGGCUAUACAAAAUAAAUUAAUCUGCCUCCCACAGCCAUCCCUCAGGAACCCCAGGCAGCAUUUGGGUGCAGUGCUGAGUUGUGGUGAUCUGCAGCACAGCAGGUGCAGAAAGAGUUCACAAAUCGCUGCUGGACGGACUCUCGGUUUUGGGGGGGUGGCAGGAGGAUCAGGUCACAACAGGUAACCAGCCCGGUUUCAACUGAUGUGGCAUCUCUUUUACAGCUAGAUGAAAGCCAAUACCCUCAUGGAAGCAAAGACUUCCCUGGCACUGAAGAGACAGAUCCCUUUGAGAAGGGCUCAUUAACAAAAUGCCCCCCUCACACUCACUGUCAGGCCGGAUCAGUUAACGCUACACAGGCUCGGGAGAGCCCUGGUUCCAAUCCUGCCGGCAGAGCUGGGGGAGCACAGUCACACAGACAGAAAGCUGCAGGAUAAAGCACAGCCCCAGCCUGCAGCUGACCCAAAGGCUCACCCGGGCUCAGCAGGAGUGUGUGCACUGCCCACGUAAGAGACACCAGACAGGGAAAAACGGAUACGAGAAAACAGAAUACUGUAAGACAGAGUGUUUAAGCUCUGACUGUGCAAAACCAUUUCCACACAUUUAGGAGAAGGUGUAUCUAUGGCUUAGCACAAUACCCUACACAUAUUACAAAUAAUGAAUGUCUGCUCACUUUCCCUCUUCUGAAAGCAGAUGCUGUUUCAGAAAGUUGCCUAAAGAAGCUCAGCAAAUGCACACCAAUAUUUACUCCUGUCCUAGACCGCUUCAACAAAAGGCUCCUUACUCCCAAAUCAGCACAAAAGUGUUUGCAGAACAGGAUCAAUAACAAGCAAAUCCGAGCAGAGGGGAUAGGAGGAAGACAAUGAAAGUGCAAGCUGUGCUUUUCCUCAUCCAUCCACCUCAUCAGCACAUCAGUCACCAGCCCGGCUGUGUUCAGCCUCACUAACUGUUCUCACCACGGAGAUGCAACGCAAUCAAAGCCUUAUUCUGGAGCUAUCACCUUUCUCGAGCCUCAUUUGUUCAACUGGACCUAGAACAAAUAAAAAUUGAAUAAACCAAAAUAUCCCAGAAGAACCCUUUCCACGUAAGGGAAGUGUGCUGCUCAUCCCUAGUUACUCGAGAAGUACCUGAUUUCUUUUCUCAAACAGGAUUAUGUGCUGCCUCGCUGCAGGUUACAUCACCUUCCUGCACUCCCACAGCAGCACCUCAGCUCACC
This is a long non-coding RNA of Manacus vitellinus (golden-collared manakin), 1661 nucleotides long. RefSeq lists it as uncharacterized. NCBI's taxonomy places the organism in Eukaryota, Metazoa, Chordata, Aves, Passeriformes, Pipridae. The transcript has 3 exons. The record is from RefSeq and is a predicted model, not a curated record.